Molecule: ribosomal RNA, 611 nt
Filed under: Streptomyces sp. GLT-Irr-6
Lineage: Bacteria; Bacillati; Actinomycetota; Actinomycetes; Kitasatosporales; Streptomycetaceae
Description: bacterial SSU rRNA
Rfam family: Bacterial small subunit ribosomal RNA
Source: RNAcentral
GUGGCGAACGGGUGAGUAACACUUGGGCAAUCUGCCCUGCACUCUGGGACAAGCCCUGGAAACGGGGUCUAAUACCGGAUACUGACCACCUUGGGCAUCCAAGGUGUUCGAAAGCUCCGGCGGUGCAGGAUGAGCCCGCGGCCUAUCAGCUUGUUGGUGAGGUAAUGGCUCACCAAGGCGACGACGGGUAGCCGGCCUGAGAGGGCGACCGGCCACACUGGGACUGAGACACGGCCCAGACUCCUACGGGAGGCAGCAGUGGGGAAUAUUGCACAAUGGGCGAAAGCCUGAUGCAGCGACGCCGCGUGAGGGAUGACGGCCUUCGGGUUGUAAACCUCUUUCAGCAGGGAAGAAGCGAAAGUGACGGUACCUGCAGAAGAAGCGCCGGCUAACUACGUGCCAGCAGCCGCGGUAAUACGUAGGGCGCGAGCGUUGUCCGGAAUUAUUGGGCGUAAAGAGCUCGUAGGCGGCUUGUCACGUCGGUUGUGAAAGCCCGGGGCUUAACCCCGGGUCUGCAGUCGAUACGGGCAGGCUAGAGUUCGGUAGGGGAGAUCGGAAUUCCUGGUGUAGCGGUGAAAUGCGCAGAUAUCAGGAGGAACACCGGUGGCGAA